RNAcentral lists this ribosomal RNA (468 nucleotides) under uncultured bacterium. RNAcentral describes it as "partial 16S ribosomal RNA". It matches the Rfam family "Bacterial small subunit ribosomal RNA", at positions 28 to 507 of the family's 1533-position model. The record is from RNAcentral.
GACGAACGCUGGCGGCGUGCUUAAUACAUGCAAGUCGAACGGAAAGGCCCUGCUUUUGUGGGGGGCUCGAGUGGCGAACGGGUGAGUAACACGUGAGUAACCUGCCCUUGACUUUGGGAUAACUUCAGGAAACUGGGGCUAAUACCGGAUAUGAGCUCCUGCUGCAUGGUGGGGGUUGGAAAGUUUCGGCGGUUGGGGGUGGACUCGCGGCUUAUCAGCUUGUUGGUGGGGUAGUGGCUUACCAAGGCUUUGACGGGUAGCCGGCCUGGGAGGGUGACCGGCCACAUUGGGACCAGGAUACGGCGCGGACUCCUACGGGAGGCAGCAGUGGGGAAUAUUGCACCAUGGGCGGACGCCUGAUGCUGAAACGCCGCGUGCGGGAGGACGGCCUUCGGGUUGUAAACCGAUUUCGCCUGUGACGAAGCGUGCGUGACGGUAAUGGGUAAAGAAGCACCGGCUAACUACGUG